RNAcentral lists this non-coding RNA (28 nucleotides) under Bombyx mori (domestic silkworm). The record is from RNAcentral. Lineage: Eukaryota; Metazoa; Arthropoda; Insecta; Lepidoptera; Bombycidae.
GAACGUCCGUGGUUCAAGGGGAGCCUGC